CUGGAGUUCUACUGAAUAUUUGGAGUUUAUAACUAAAUAUGGCAACCACAUCCUCUAAGUUGGAAUGUGUUAUGGAGUCCGAACGAUUUAUAAAUGAAGAGGCUCCAAACAACAGUACACCAGAAUCCACAUCUGUAAUUGUGUCAUACCAGUACGUUCCUCCGGAAUGUUUGAAAAACUGUUCUCAUCUCAAUCCAGUGGUCAGCGUUCGAAAAUCCUUAGACAGACUGGUAAAGAAACACCGAAAAAAGAUCAAAAUGUGCUUCCGAAUGUUUCUUAUUUUAGGAUAUUUUGCAUAUUUCAUUGGAGCAAUGAUUUAUCGUUUCGGUGACGAGGGUUCGAUUCGUUUACUUGUUGUAACAACCGUUGUUAUAUCUUGUUAUGCAAUGCAUGUGAUAAAAAAUCAGUGCGGAAGUCGAGUGGAAGCUAUCAUGAACAAUACUAGUAAAAAUCACAACUUUCCGAGUGAAAGAACAAGGCAUAUUUUGAAAAGGAUAUUGACAGUCUACGUCAUCUGCGUCAUCGUCAUUUAUAUCACCACAACAGUCUUUCUGACGGAUCCUUCCCGCCUUAUACCUGUCGCCGGUUUACUCAUUUUCACGUUCGUGCUGUUUUUCUUUUCAAAAGAUCCCGAACAGGUUUCGUGGCGGCCUGUAUUGUGGGGGUUUCUGCUGCAAAUGAUCUUUGCCUUGAUAGUUCUCCGGACCAGCUGGGGCUAUGGUGCAUUUGACUGGCUGGGGAAAAGAGUCACAGAAUUUCUCGAUCAUACAGAUAAUGGCGCCAGAUUUGUGUUUGGGGAUGGUUUUAUGGAACACUUUUUUGCAUUUAAGGUGAUGUCAGUUAUAUUUUUCUUCAGCGCAGUCAUAUCUAUUCUGUACUAUAUUGGAUGGAUGCAAAUUCUGAUAGAAAAGAUGGCCUGGGUAAUGCAGUACAGCUUGGAAACUUCCGCCAUGGAAUCCCUCCACGCCGCCGUCAACGUCUUUGUUGGAUGGGCCGAAACUACGACGAUAAUCAAGCCUCUUUUUGACAAGAUGACCCUCUCGGAACUUCAUACCGUGAUGACGAAUGGAUUUGCAACAGUGGCCGGAAGCACAUUAGUAAUCUACAUCCUUUUUGGGGCUCCCGCCAAUCACUUGAUAUCGGCCAGUGUUAUGUCAGCACCAGCAGCACUCGGAAUAUCCAAGUUAUUUUGGCCGGAAACCAAAGAGAGCAGAAGAGAUACAUCAAACGACGCAUGUGUAAUAAAAAGGGAGGGAAGAAAUAUUAUGGACGCAGCAUCUAUCGGAGCCAUCACUGCCCUUCCGAUUGUGGCCUAUAUUCUAGCCAGUGUCAUCGCCUUUUUCUCCCUCUUGGGAUUUGUUAAUUCUACCUUGGUGUGGCUGGGAGAGAGGAUCGGGCUCAUCCUUCCUGAUUAUCCACCGCUAACCUUUCAGCUCAUAUGCUCUUACCUAUUCUGGCCAUUAGUUUUUCUGAUGGGUGUAGAAUCACGUGACUGUUGUGUUGUCGCACGAAUGGUAGGAAUCAAGACCUUCAUCAAUGAAUUUCUAGCGUACGAAGAUUUGGGAAAGGUAAGGAAAAAUAAUGACGUAUUCGACUCUUACACGGGUCAAUGGACGAUGACGGCCAGCUGUGAUGUAUUUUUGGUGGAUCGAAAUGAAACCCUUAAAGGAGGAGUUCUCACAGUAAGUAUUUCACACGCUGUCUCAUUUUGUUUGUUUUUGCUGUUUGGUUUGUAUGUUGGUUUUGUUAUUUGGUUUGUAUGUUGUUUUGUGGUGAUUUUGUUGUUUGUUUUGUUUAUUGUUUUGAGUUGGUUUGGCUUUUGUUUUGUGUUGGAUUUGGUUUUUUUGGUCUGUAUGUUUUGUAUUGGUUUUGUUGUUUAGUUUGUAUGUCGUUUUGUGUUGAUUUUUAGUGUUUAGUUUGUAUGUUGUUUUGUGUUCGUUUUGUUCUUUUGUUCGUAUGUUGUUUCACCGUGGUUUUGUUGUUUGGUUUGUAUGUUGUUUUGUGUUCGUUUUGUUGUUUGGUUUGUAUGUUUUGUGUUGGUUUUGUUGUUUCGUUUGUAUAUUGUUUUUUGUUGGAUUUGCUGUUUAGUUUGUAUGUUGCUUUACGUAUUAUUCGAGAAUUUCACUCAUAUAGGUAAGCCAUCAUCAGAUUUAGAUACCAAAAAGUUUGGAUCAAUGCAGUCGUGGCCGUAGCAGUGAGGGGCCAAUAUUGUCUCAACGCUUAAAGCGACAUGGGACCUCUGUUUAUAAGGAACAUUCAGUGGUUAUUGCUACGUAUGCCCUUUGUGGAUUUGCCAACCUGACAGCCCUAGGGAUCAUGAUAGGAGCACUCACCGCCAUAGCACCGGACCGGAAAGAAGACAUAGUUCGAGUUUCCUUCCG
RNA transcript from Ostrea edulis (European flat oyster), 2381 nucleotides. It is a transcript of the gene named solute carrier family 28 member 3-like, with no coding region annotated. The transcript has 10 exons. The record is from RefSeq and is a predicted model, not a curated record. Lineage: Eukaryota; Metazoa; Mollusca; Bivalvia; Ostreida; Ostreidae.